Molecule: ribosomal RNA, 787 nt
Filed under: uncultured archaeon
Lineage: Archaea
Description: bacterial SSU rRNA
Rfam family: Archaeal small subunit ribosomal RNA
Source: RNAcentral
ACGGCUCAGUAACACGUGGAUAACCUGCCCUAAGGAAGGGGAUACCCCCGGGAAACUGGGUAUAAUACCCUAUAGAUUACAGAUGCUGGAAUGCCCUGUAAUCGAAAGUUCCGACGCCUUAGGAUGGAUCUGCGGCCGAUUAGGUUGUUGUCGGGGUAACGGCCCAACAAGCCAGUGAUCGGUACGGGUUGUGGGAGCAAGAGCCCGGAGUUGGAUUCUGAGACACGAAUCCAGGCCCUACGGGGCGCAGCAGGCGCGAAAACUUUACAAUGCGGGCAACCGUGAUAAGGGAACCUCGAGUGCCUGUAUAUGCAGGCUGUCCAGGUGUCUAAAACACACCUGAAGAAAGGGCCGGGCAAGACCGGUGCCAGCCGCCGCGGUAAUACCGGCGGCUCGAGUGGUGGCCGCUUUUAUUGGGCUUAAAGCGUUCGUAGCUGGGUCGUUAAGUCUCUUGGGAAAUCCGGCAGCUCAACUGUCGGGCGUCUAAGAGAUACUGGCGAUCUUGGAACCGGGAGAGGUGAGGGGUACUUCGGGGGGUAGAAGUGAAAUCCUGUAAUCCUCGAGGGACCACCUGUGGCGAAGGCGCCUCACCAGAACGGCUUCGACAGUGAGGGACGAAAGCUGGGGGAGCAAACCGGAUUAGAUACCCGGGUAGUCCCAGCCGUAAACGAUGUGCGUUAGGUGUAUCAACGACCACGAGUCGUUGAGGUGCCGAAGGGAAACCGUGAAACGUACCGCCUGGGAAGUACGGUCGCAAGGCUGAAACUUAAAGGAAUUGGCGGGGGAG